ACGUUAAAACACCGGUUUCCGUACGAUGACCGAAGUUAAGCAUUGUCGAGCUUGGCCACUACCUAGAUGGGUGACCGCUUAGAAAUACCAGGUGCUAU
Non-coding RNA from Acanthosepion pharaonis, 98 nucleotides. Lineage: Eukaryota; Metazoa; Mollusca; Cephalopoda; Sepiida; Sepiidae. The record is from the annotation of a GenBank genome assembly.